RNAcentral lists this ribosomal RNA (306 nucleotides) under uncultured bacterium. Its description in RNAcentral is "bacterial SSU rRNA". It matches the Rfam family "Bacterial small subunit ribosomal RNA", at positions 30 to 334 of the family's 1533-position model. The record is from RNAcentral.
AUUGAACGCUGGCGGCAUGCCUUACACAUGCAAGUCGAACGGCAGCACGGGUGCUUGCACCUGGUGGCGAGUGGCGAACGGGUGAGUAAUACAUCGGAACAUGUCCUGUAGUGGGGGAUAGCCCGGCGAAAGCCGGAUUAAUACCGCAUACGAUCUACGGAUGAAAGCGGGGGACCUUCGGGCCUCGCGCUAUAGGGUUGGCCGAUGGCUGAUUAGCUAGUUGGUGGGGUAAAGGCCUACCAAGGCGACGAUCAGUAGCUGGUCUGAGAGGACGACCAGCCACACUGGGACUGAGACACGGCCCAG